CGCUGACGACCGGCGCACGGGUGCGUAACGCGUAUAGAACCUACCUUUUACUGAGGGAUAGCCUUUAGAAAUGAAGAUUAAUACCUCAUAGUAUUGAGAUUUGGCAUCAGAACUCAAUUAAAGAUUUAUCGGUAGAAGAUGGCUAUGCGUCCUAUUAGCUAGAUGGUAAGGUAACGGCUUACCAUGGCAACGAUAGGUAGGGGCCCUGAGAGGGGGAUCCCCCACACUGGUACUGAGACACGGACCAGACUCCUACGGGAGGCAGCAGUGAGGAAUAUUGGUCAAUGGAGGCAACUCUGAACCAGCCAUGCCGCGUGCAGGAAGACUGCCCUAUGGGUUGUAAACUGCUUUUAUACAGGAAGAAACAGUCCCUCGUGAGGGGCCUUGACGGUACUGUAGGAAUAAGCACCGGCUAACUCCGUGCCAGCAGCCGCGGUAAUACGGAGGGUGCAAGCGUUAUCCGGAAUCAUUGGGUUUAAAGGGUCCGCAGGCGGUCAAUUAAGUCAGAGGUGAAAUCCCACAGCUUAACUGUGGAACUGCCUUUGAUACUGGUUGACUUGAGUUAUACGGAAGUAGAUAGAAUAUGUAGUGUAGCGGUGAAAUGCAUAGAUAUUACAUAGAAUACCGAUUGCGAAGG
Molecule: ribosomal RNA, 637 nt
Filed under: Pseudotenacibaculum sp.
Lineage: Bacteria; Pseudomonadati; Bacteroidota; Flavobacteriia; Flavobacteriales; Flavobacteriaceae
Description: bacterial SSU rRNA
Rfam family: Bacterial small subunit ribosomal RNA
Source: RNAcentral